CCCCUGCUCCCUUUGCACACACCGCCCCGUCGCUUCACCGAAGUUUGGUUCUUGGCGAGGUUGCGCCUAAUUGGCGCUAUCGAACCUGGGGUCAGCAACGGGGAG
This 105-nucleotide ribosomal RNA is filed under the name uncultured bacterium. RNAcentral's name for it is "partial 16S ribosomal RNA". The record is from RNAcentral.